UGCCAACCUUUCUCCUUUCCAAAACUAGGUCUGGAAUGGGGUUUUGAACUCCUGCUAGUGAGUGAAUUGCACUGGUGUUAUUAACCAAAAAAGUGUUCCUCCAACUGAAGUAGCUUGAAGAUUUUGUCUACUGAAGUGCAAACUACUCAACACCCUUAUGCAUUUGAAAAAGAGUUGAACAGAUGUCUCUAAAACUAUUCAUUUGUUUGAGAAAUGCCAAGUUUGAGGUGACUGGAGAAUUGAUUGCUAUGAAUCAUCUGUAUGGGGCAUUUACAAGCAAGUCUAUUUCUAAAGAACUCAAGAAAGCAGUAAUUCAGUAAAGCAUGAAGAGGAAUCUGCUAAGAUGUUUUACAAUGGAUGGUAGUUCCAUACAGCUGCAUGAAUUAUUUUUCCUUCACAAACUGGUUUGUUUUGUCCUCUGACAAGGCUGACUCAUUCAAGGCAGAAAAAACUUGAGGAAAUCAAAGAAAAAAUAUCUGGUACUUGAUUCCCAUUAUUUACAAUUUUUAAAAAUAUUUAUUUAUCUGAAAGACAAUGAGAGAAAAAGAAAGAGAGAAAGAAGUCUUUUAUCCACCAAUUCACUCCUCAGAUGACCUCAGUGGCCUGGGCUAGACCAAUCUGAAGCCAGGAGCCAAGAGCUUCAUGUGGAUCUCCUACAUGAAUGGUAGAUACCCAAACACCUCCGAGAUCCAAACACCUGGGCCAUCUGCUUCUUUUCUCGAGCAUAUUGGCAAGUAGCUGGGUUGGAAGUUGAGCAGCUGAACAACAGUGAACACAACAUGUCAUGAUACAACACCAGCCCCUUUUUAUAAUUUUAAUAAUGAAGAUGUCAGCAUUACUGUUACAUAUAUGCUGAAUAUGGGAAAAUAAAUUUUAUCUGUC
Molecule: non-coding RNA, 882 nt
Organism: Oryctolagus cuniculus (rabbit)
Lineage: Eukaryota; Metazoa; Chordata; Mammalia; Lagomorpha; Leporidae
Source: RefSeq, a predicted model, not a curated record